UACAGAGGUCCCGAGCGUUGUUCGGAUUCACUGGGCGUAAAGGGUGCGUAGGUGGCGAGGUAAGUCGGAUGUGAAAGCUCGGAGCUCAACUCCGAAAUGGCAUUGGAAACUACCUUGCUCGAGGGUUGGAGGGGGGGCUGGAAUACUUGGUGUAGCAGUGAAAUGCGUAGAUAUCAAGUGGAACACCAGUGGCGAAGGCGAGUCCCUGGACAACUCCUGACACUGAGGCACGAAAGCUAGGGGAGCAAACAGG
RNAcentral lists this ribosomal RNA (253 nucleotides) under uncultured bacterium. RNAcentral describes it as "partial 16S ribosomal RNA". It matches the Rfam family "Bacterial small subunit ribosomal RNA", at positions 524 to 776 of the family's 1533-position model. The record is from RNAcentral.